RNAcentral lists this ribosomal RNA (1402 nucleotides) under Serratia symbiotica. Its description in RNAcentral is "bacterial SSU rRNA". It matches the Rfam family "Bacterial small subunit ribosomal RNA". The record is from RNAcentral. Lineage: Bacteria; Pseudomonadati; Pseudomonadota; Gammaproteobacteria; Enterobacterales; Yersiniaceae.
AAAUUGAAGAGUUUGAUCAUGGCUCAGAUUGAACGCUGGCGGCAGGCCUAACACAUGCAAGUCAAGCGGUAGCACAAAAAAGCUUGGUCUCUAGGUGAGGAGAGACAGACGAGUAAGUAAUGUUUGGGAAACUGCCUGAUAGUGGGGGAUAACUAAUAGAAACGGUAGCUAAUGCCGCAUAUACCGCAUAACGCCGCAAGACCAAAGUGGGGGACACUCAGGCCGCACGCCAUCAGAUGUGCCCAGGCGGGAUUAACUGGCAAAUAGGGUAACGUCCCACUUAGGCAACCAUCCCUGGCUAGUCUGAGAGAAUGACCAGCCACACUGGAACUGAGACACGGUCCAGACUCCUACGGGAGGCAGCAGUGGGGAAUACUCACAAUGGGCGCAAGCCUGAUGCAGCCAUGCGGCGUGUGUGAAAAAAGCCUUCGGGUUGUAAAGCACUUUCAGCGAGAAAAAAAGUAAUGUGCUAACAAGACAUUGCAUUGACGCUACUCGAAGAAGAAGCAACAGCUAACUCCGUGCUAGCAGCCGCGGUAAUACUGAGGGUACAAGUGCUAAUCAGAAUUACUGGGCGUAAGGCGCCCGCAGGCGGUUUAUUAAGUCAGAUCUGAAAUCCCCGCGCUCAACGCGGGAACGGCAUUUGAGACUGGCAAGCUAGAGUCUUGUAGAGGAGGGUAAAAUUCCAGGUGUAGCGGCGAAAUGCGUAUAGAUCUGGAGAAAUGCCGGCGGCAAAGGCGGCCCCCUAGACAAAAACUGACGCUCACGUGCGAAAACGUGGGAAGCAAACAGGAUUAGAUACCCUGGUAGUCCAUGUUGUAAACGAUGUCGAUUUGGAGGCUGCGCCCCUGAGAGAUAGCUUCCGUGGCUAACGCGUUAAAUCGACCGCCCGGGGAGUACAGCCGCAAGGUUAAAACUCAAAUAAAUAAAUUGACGGGGGCCGGCACAAGCGGUGAAGCACGUGGCUUAAUUCGAUGCAACGCGAAAAACCUUACCUACUCUCGGCAUCCAGAGAACUCUCCAGAAAUAGAGAACUCUCCAGAAAUAGAGAAGUGCCUUCGGGAGCUCUGAGACAGGCGCUGCAUAGCUGUCGUCAGCUCGUGUUGCGAAGAGAAGCGACCUCGCAAAAGCAAGCGGACCUCACAAAGUACGUCGUAGUCCAAAUUGGAGUCUGCAACUCGACUCCAUGAAGUCGGAAUCGCUAGUAAUCGUAGAUCAGAAUGCUGCGGUGAACACGUUCCCGAGACCUGUACACACCGCCCCUCACACCACGGGAGCAGGCUGCAAAAGAAGUAGGUAGCUCAACCUUCGGGAGGGCGCCCACCACCUUGUGAUUCAUGACCGGGGUAAAGUCGUAACAAGGUAACCGUAAAGGAACCUCCGGUUGGAUCACCUCCUUACC